RNAcentral lists this ribosomal RNA (253 nucleotides) under uncultured bacterium. RNAcentral describes it as "partial 16S ribosomal RNA". It matches the Rfam family "Bacterial small subunit ribosomal RNA", at positions 524 to 776 of the family's 1533-position model. The record is from RNAcentral.
UACGUAGGGGGCUAGCGUUGUCCGGAAUCAUUGGGCGUAAAGCGCGUGUAGGCGGUCUGGUAAGUCCGCUGUGAAAGUCGGGGGCUCAACCCUCGGAUGCCGGUGGAUACUGUCGGGCUUGAGUACGGAAGAGGCGAGUGGAAUUCCUGGUGUAGCGGUGAAAUGCGCAGAUAUCAGGAGGAACACCAAUUGCGAAGGCAGCUCGCUGGGACGUUACUGACGCUGAGACGCGAAAGCGUGGGGAGCAAACAGG